This is a long non-coding RNA of Esox lucius (northern pike), 1313 nucleotides long. Lineage: Eukaryota; Metazoa; Chordata; Actinopteri; Esociformes; Esocidae. The record is from Ensembl.
AAAGCAGCUAGUGAUUGAUCUGGAUUAGCGCCAGUUGGCAGGAACGGUAAAUGCUGAUGACACUUGCCUGCUGUACUUAUCUCGAAAGUUACCAAAAAACAGCUCACUAGCAAGAAACUUCAAAGUCCUGCCUCCUCCGGUGGAAAUUAGGUAAAAAUUAACCAUGUUAUUGUUGUAUGGUUAUUGUUUUAAGCGGCUCAAAUAAUUAUUCACACAAACAUGUUUACGAAGUAUCAACUGGCAUCGAAAGUUACUAGCAAGCUAUUAGCUUUUUUUCGCAAGUAGGCCUAGUUUUCUACAAUGUCACACAUUUUGAUUUGACCCCUUUCUGUGUCUUGACCGGCCAGCCGCAUUUGUCUUCAUUGAAACGUUUGGCUAAUAUGUAUUAUUAUAAACAUUAAAUGUUUGCUACAAUGGACUAUAGCAUGUUAUAUUUGCCCUGGUCCAAGCAGAGGAAACGUGAUUAACUCACGCCUUGAACCAUCCAAUUCCGGAUAAAGACUCGAUGUUUUCUAGCAUUGAUUGUUCAUGUGUAGCCUUAGACACCACCCCUGACCCACUCCAGACCUCUACCCACUUACUUUGAUAGGUCUUCCGUUAGUGAAUCACAACACUACAUUUCAUGUAGUCUGCCUCGCACACGGUACCAAUGUGCUGCUAGCUAGAGAGGUGUGCAGUCAGUGGGUCGUUUCUGAGCAGACUAGAAUGGCCUUGGGAGCACUGCUUGCCCACACUCCACUACCUGGAUCCACCCACAUGCCCUCUUUAAUUCCACUCCUCUGUUCUCGCCAGACCUGCCAUGGAUGAACUGACAGUAGCCGAGCUAAAAGAAGCCAGCCAGCCAGCACUAGUCUGCCUAUGGUGGGAGGUUUGAUUUGGGAUGGGGGAAUUGGUGGCCCAGCAGGUCUGCCUGGUCUGCUGGUCUGGGCAUCCAUCGAUGGAAGUGCAUCACACCUCUGGCCAGCUAGAGGCUCCUCCUCCCUGUUCCUCCUCCCUGUUCCUCAUCCUUGCCGACUGAGUGACCGAUCGUCAGUCUUGCUGAAUGGUCAAAGAGCGCGUCGAGCUGUCACGCACCAGCGCCACCGGGGAGGGGCCAUCCUACGCCCGCGCCGCCUAGUUCGCCGUUACCCACAAGGCACCUGGACAGGAGAGGGACCCGCAGGGGCCGGAGACAGGAAGAGUGUCAGCUUGGCCGGUUGCCUCUUGCCCGGCCAGGAUUUUAACCACCGAACAGCCAUACGCCAUUCUUACCUCCAGGCACACCUGGGAAGCAGUGGUGGCACUUGAAUAUCUAAGAGAAAUGGCGUCUGUCG